CCUACGGGAGGCAGCAGUGGGGAAGUCUUGCGCAAUGGGCGAAAGCCUGACGCAGCCAUGCCGCGUGAAUGAUGAAGGUCUUAGGAUUGUAAAAUUCUUUCAGUAGGGACGAUAAUGACGGUACCUACAGAAGAAGCCCCGGCUAACUUCGUGCCAGCAGCCGCGGUAAUACGAAGGGGGCUAGCGUUGCUCGGAAUUACUGGGCGUAAAGGGAGCGUAGGCGGGUUAUCAAGUUGGAGGUGAAAGCCCAGGGCUCAACCUUGGAAUUGCCUUCAAAACUGAUAGCCUAGAGUAUGAUAGAGGUAUGUGGAACUCCGAGUGUAGAGGUGAAAUUCGUAGAUAUUCGGAAGAACACCAGUUGGCGAAGGCGACAUACUGGGUC
RNAcentral lists this ribosomal RNA (382 nucleotides) under uncultured bacterium. Its description in RNAcentral is "bacterial SSU rRNA". It matches the Rfam family "Bacterial small subunit ribosomal RNA", at positions 338 to 735 of the family's 1533-position model. The record is from RNAcentral.